This is a non-coding RNA of Schistosoma mansoni, 47 nucleotides long. The record is from Rfam. NCBI's taxonomy places the organism in Eukaryota, Metazoa, Platyhelminthes, Trematoda, Strigeidida, Schistosomatidae.
ACCCUGCUGAGGAGUCCCACAAUAGGACGAAACGGCCGUCCAAUGAU